RNAcentral lists this ribosomal RNA (253 nucleotides) under uncultured bacterium. RNAcentral's name for it is "partial 16S ribosomal RNA". It matches the Rfam family "Bacterial small subunit ribosomal RNA", at positions 524 to 776 of the family's 1533-position model. The record is from RNAcentral.
UACGGAGGGUGCGAGCGUUGUCCGGAAUCACUGGGCGUAAAGGGCGCGUAGGCGGCGCGGAUAGUCGGCGGUGAAAGCCCGGAGCUCAACUCCGGGUCGGCCGUCGAUACUUCCGGGCUUGAGCACUGUAGAGGCAGAUGGAAUUCCGGGUGUAGCGGUGGAAUGCGUAGAGAUCCGGAAGAACACCGGUGGCGAAGGCGGUCUGCUGGGCAGUUGCUGACGCUGAUGCGCGACAGCGUGUGGAGCAAACAGG